RNA transcript from Triticum aestivum (bread wheat), 1678 nucleotides. RefSeq lists it as uncharacterized. The record is from RefSeq and is a predicted model, not a curated record. NCBI's taxonomy places the organism in Eukaryota, Viridiplantae, Streptophyta, Magnoliopsida, Poales, Poaceae. The transcript has 6 exons.
AGCGCAAAGUAGAUAAGGCGUGCUUUUGAACCCCCCGAAGCGAAGUUGGCAGAGCGAGCGAUACCACGCCACCGUUGGCCGCCGGGAUGCUACUGGCGCGCGCCCCGCCGCCAUCGCCGUCGGCGUUCAACUCCCCGGCGCUUUCGGCGCGCGCCUUCCGCCGUCGCCGCCUCGCCGCUCCCGGUGCCGCCGCGACGGCCGCGUCCAAGCCGCCUUCUCUCCGGGUCGGGCAAAGGCGCAAGCAGGUGGCGAGCGUGGCGAACCCCAUGGUGAAGCACUGCGUGAAGCUCCGGGACUCGGCCGCCUACCGACGGUCCUGCCGCCGCCUCGUCCUCGUCGGCCUCGCCCCCGUCCUGGAGAUCUGCAGGCUUGGGCUCGCCGACAUCGAUUGCUUGCUCCUCUUGGACGGCGCAGAGGUCCCGGGUGAACUGCAUGAGCUCUCUGGUGGCAAUGUUGUGUAUGUCAGCGCCACUGUGAUGAAGAGGAUCUCCGGGAUGCGGUCGGUUGAUUCAACCGAGGCGAUUGCUGUCAUGCACAUGCCCAAGCAUUUCUGUGACCUCGGUGAUGAGGAGGGUGGAGCUGGUCUUGAUGCGGCGUUCCAGUCUCCAAAGAGGAUCCUGGUCCUUGAUGGGAUUCAGGAUCCGGGUAACCUCGGAACGCUGAUAAGGUCAGCUUGUGCGUUCAAAUGGGAUGGGGUAUUUCUUCUUCCGGCUUGCUGUGAUCCUUUCAAUGAAAAGGCUCUUCGUGCAGCUCGUGGAGCCUCUUUGCAGCUUCCAAUUGUCUCUGGCAACUGGUGUGAUCUGCAUGCUUUGGUAACUAGAUAUGGCAUGAAGAUGUUGGCAGGCCAUCCAGAAAGUAGCAGUGAUGGAUCUGAAAGAACCCAUGUGCUGUCCAAAGAGCUUGCAGACUCACUGAUGAGUGAGUCACUAUGCUUAGUGUUAGGAAGUGAGGGCAAUGGCCUCUCUGAAGAGACCGUCCAAGCUUGUGAUCUUGUAAGCAUUCCUAUGGAAGCACGACUGAACAGACAUGGUGUUGUUUUCAAAUAAGACACGUUAUGACGAUGCUUUGGCGGCACUUCAACCUGUUUUGGACCUUAAUAGUCAGUGUUUAAAGAAAGGAUGGCUUUCACUUUCAGAAAUGAAUAUGGAUGGUUCCCAGGUCCAUUAGUUUUCUGCUGGCCAACUCCCUGCUAAGCACUGUAAGUAUCGCGGCCUAGCCUGUUACUCCGUCGACAGGCUGGGCAUAUCCCUGUUCAUCAGCCACUACAUCAUUUUGCAUGUUAUUUCCUGCUCUAGACUAUGCCCGUCCACCGGUUGCAAUUUUCAUUCCAUCUGUUGAACUAUUUCUGUUCCAAACAUUAUUGAAGUAGCAUGUGCUUUUACUUGGACUUCACAUGUGGAGAAGUACAGACACAAACUAGCUGUGAACUAAUCAUGCGCACACACGCAUAUGAAAUGUUUAUUCGACGUUGAUCAGAAGGUUACACGGAACCUAGAUGCUUCCACAUCAUAGAGUCGCAUGGUUCAUAUCUUUUAGUUCUCACGAGAUAGUCUAACAUUAUCAGUACGGCCAUAUUAGGCAAAAUUUUGUCCAGUGGCCAGCGCAUCACCAUGCAAUUUCUCAAAUUGUCCAUGUUAAAGUUCAGAGUCCAAUAGAUAUGCCUUUGCUAGUAGCAUUA